This 598-nucleotide ribosomal RNA is filed under the name uncultured bacterium. RNAcentral's name for it is "bacterial SSU rRNA". It matches the Rfam family "Bacterial small subunit ribosomal RNA", at positions 338 to 949 of the family's 1533-position model. The record is from RNAcentral.
CCUACGGGAGGCAGCAGUGGGGAAUCUUGCGCAAUGGGCGAAAGCCUGACGCAGCAACGCCGCGUGCGGGAAGAAGGCUUUCGGGCUGUAAACCGCUUUCAGCAGGAACGAAAAUGACGGUACCUGCAGAAGAAGGAGCGGCCAACUAUGUGCCAGCAGCCGCGGUGAUACAUAGGCUUCAAGCGUUGUCCGGAUUUAUUGGGCGUAAAGAGUUCGUAGGCGGUCGAGUAAGUCGGGUGUGAAAAUUCUGGGCUCAACCCAGAGACGCCACCCGAUACUGCUUGACUUGAGUUCGAUAGGGGAGUGGGGAAUUCCUAGUGUAGCGGUGAAAUGCGCAGAUAUUAGGAGGAACACCGGUGGCGAAGGCGCCACUCUGGACCGAUACUGACGCUGAGGAACGAAAGCAUGGGUAGCAAACAGGAUUAGAUACCCUGGUAGUCCAUGCCGUAAACGGUGGGCACUAGGUGUGGGUUUCUAUUAACGAAAUCCGCGCCGUCGCUAACGCAUUAAGUGCCCCGCCUGGGGAGUACGGUCGCAAGACUAAAACUCAAAGGAAUUGACGGCUGAGACCGNGCGACGACGACGACGAGGGAGGUAG